UACGUAGGGCGCGAGCGUUGUCCGGAAUUAUUGGGCGUAAAGAGCUCGUAGGCGGCCUGUUGCGUCCGCUGUGAAAUCCCGGGGCUUAACCCCGGGUCUGCAGUGGAUACGGGCAGGCUAGAGGCAGGCAGGGGAGAACGGAAUUCCCGGUGCAGCGGUGAAAUGCGCAGAUAUCGGGAGGAACACCGGUGGCGAAGGCGGUUCUCUGGGCCUGUUCUGACGCUGAGGAGCGAAAGCGUGGGGAGCGAACAGG
This 253-nucleotide ribosomal RNA is filed under the name uncultured bacterium. Its description in RNAcentral is "partial 16S ribosomal RNA". It matches the Rfam family "Bacterial small subunit ribosomal RNA", at positions 524 to 776 of the family's 1533-position model. The record is from RNAcentral.